AACGAACGCUGGCGGCAUGCCUAACACAUGCAAGUCGAACGAGCUCUUCGGAGCUAGUGGCGCACGGGUGCGUAACGCGUGGGAACCUGCCCUUAGGUUCGGAAUAACUCCCCGAAAGGGGAGCUAAUACCGGAUAAUGUCUUCGGACCAAAGAUUUAUCGCCUUUGGAUGGGCCCGCGUUGGAUUAGCUAGUUGGUGGGGUAAAGGCCUACCAAGGCGACGAUCCAUAGCUGGUCUUAGAGGAUGAUCAGCCACACUGGGACUGAGACACGGCCCAGACUCCUACGGGAGGCAGCAGUGGGGAAUAUUGGACAAUGGGCGAAAGCCUGAUCCAGCAAUGCCGCGUGAGUGAUGAAGGCCCUAGGGUUGUAAAGCUCUUUUACCCGGGAUGAUAAUGACAGUACCGGGAGAAUAAGCCCCGGCUAACUCC
RNAcentral lists this ribosomal RNA (430 nucleotides) under uncultured Alphaproteobacteria bacterium. RNAcentral's name for it is "bacterial SSU rRNA". It matches the Rfam family "Bacterial small subunit ribosomal RNA", at positions 29 to 504 of the family's 1533-position model. Lineage: Bacteria; Pseudomonadati; Pseudomonadota; Alphaproteobacteria. The record is from RNAcentral.